CUCGUUUUCCUCUGGUCCAUGGCAUCCUCCUGCCACCGAGAAAGCUAUUAGGAAAUCCUUUGAUGUGGUGGUUCUUGAAACACAGUCAUCUGGAAGAAAAGAGAUAGAAGACACUCCAUCUACCUUUUCGAUGCCAAGAUCUGCUUGGUUCUUGAACUCAAUUCUCGAUUUGGUUAGUAUUGCGGUAUUCGGCCAUGAUACAUACUUUCAUGAUACAUACUCCGAAUGCGUCCUUGUUACAUGGCCAAGCUACUGUGAUCUUGAUUAGCUAUUUUAGGAAUGGUCUC
Molecule: long non-coding RNA, 287 nt
Filed under: Carica papaya (papaya)
Lineage: Eukaryota; Viridiplantae; Streptophyta; Magnoliopsida; Brassicales; Caricaceae
Description: long non-coding RNA (CPAP_LNC016056)
Source: RNAcentral